This is a non-coding RNA of Acanthosepion pharaonis, 112 nucleotides long. The record is from the annotation of a GenBank genome assembly. NCBI's taxonomy places the organism in Eukaryota, Metazoa, Mollusca, Cephalopoda, Sepiida, Sepiidae.
UUACGGCCACAUCACGCUGAGUCACCGGUUCCUGUAUGGUUACCGAAGUUAAGCAACGCCGAGCCUAGUCAGUACCUAGAUGGGUGACCGCUUGGGGAUACCACGUACUGGA